RNAcentral lists this unclassified non-coding RNA (224 nucleotides) under Bacillus amyloliquefaciens. RNAcentral's name for it is "16S-23S ribosomal RNA intergenic spacer". Lineage: Bacteria; Bacillati; Bacillota; Bacilli; Caryophanales; Bacillaceae. The record is from RNAcentral.
UUUAACGGAAUAUAAGACCUUGGGUCUUAUAAACAGAACGUUCCCUGUCUUGUUUAGUUUUGAAGGAUCAUUCCUUCCUUCGAGAUGAACACCUGCUAAAUGCACCACUUCCAGUGGCAUCGCAUGUGUUAACAUGUGCUAUACGUUGUUCUUUGAAUCCUUUAUAAGGUAAAUUAUUCACAUUCAAUUAGUAAUGCAAGAUAUCACGUAGAGAUUCUUUUUAA